CGCGUUCUGCACUAACACCGAAGUUUUA
This 28-nucleotide ribosomal RNA is filed under the name Sclerotinia sclerotiorum. RNAcentral describes it as "partial 28S ribosomal RNA". The record is from RNAcentral. Lineage: Eukaryota; Fungi; Ascomycota; Leotiomycetes; Helotiales; Sclerotiniaceae.